RNAcentral lists this ribosomal RNA (468 nucleotides) under uncultured bacterium. RNAcentral describes it as "partial 16S ribosomal RNA". It matches the Rfam family "Bacterial small subunit ribosomal RNA", at positions 28 to 507 of the family's 1533-position model. The record is from RNAcentral.
GACGAACGCUGGCGGCGUGCUUAACACAUGCAAGUCGAACGGAAAGGCCCUGCUUUUGUGGGGUUCUCGAGUGGCGAACGGGUGAGUAACACGUGAGUAACCUUCCCUUUACUUUGUGAUAACUUCAGGAAACUGGGGCUAAUACCGGAUAGGAGCUCCUGCUGCAUGGUGGUGGUUGGAAAGUUUCGGCGGUUGGGGAUGGACUCGCGGCUUAUCAGCUUGUUGGUGGGGUAGUGGCUUACCAAGGCUUUGAAGGGUAGCCGGCCUGAGAGGGUGACCGGCCACAUUGGGACUGAGAUACGGCCCAGACUCCUACGGGAGGCAGCAGUGGGGAAUAUUGCACAAUGGGCGGAAGCCUGAUGAAGAAACGCCGCGUGCGGGAUGACGGCCUUCGGGUUGUAAACCGCUUUCGCCUGUGACGAAGCGUGAGUGACGGUAAUGGGUAAAGAAGCACCGGCUAACUACGUG